ACGGAGGGUGCGAGCGUUAUUCGGAUUUACUGGGCGUAAAGCGCGCGCAGGCGGUUUGGCAAGUCUGAUGUGAAAGCCUCGGGCUUAACCUGGGAAGUGCCAUGGAAACUGCAGGACUUGAGUACUGGAGAGGAAGGGGGAAUUCCCGGUGUAGAGGUGAAAUUCGUAGAGAUCGCGAAGAAUACCAAUUGCGAAGGCACCCUACUGGACGUUUACUGACGCUGAGACGCGAAAGCGUGGGGAGCAAACAG
Molecule: ribosomal RNA, 251 nt
Filed under: uncultured prokaryote
Description: partial 16S rRNA
Rfam family: Bacterial small subunit ribosomal RNA
Source: RNAcentral